This 90-nucleotide transfer RNA is filed under the name Pontiella desulfatans. RNAcentral's name for it is "tRNA-Ser(tga)". Lineage: Bacteria; Pseudomonadati; Kiritimatiellota; Kiritimatiellia; Kiritimatiellales; Pontiellaceae. The record is from RNAcentral.
UGAGCUCCUGGCUCAGGCGGCAGGCCGACUUGAAGUUGGCCAUGUCCGCUUCCUCGAGCGACAGGUCGUGGUUCGUAUCUUCGAGCACGC